UACGUAGGGGGCAAGCGUUAUCCGGAUUUACUGGGUGUAAAGGGAGCGCAGACGGAACUGCAAGUCUGAUGUGAAAGCCCGGGGCUCAACCGCGGGACAGCAUCGGAUACUGUAGAUCUGGAGUGCCGGAGGGGCAAGCGGAAUUCCUGGUGUAGCGGUGAAAUGCGCAGAUAUCAGGAGGAACACCGAUGGCGAAGGCAGGUCUCUGGGCCACUACUGACGCUGAGAAGCGAAAGCAUGGGGAGCGAACAGGA
This 254-nucleotide ribosomal RNA is filed under the name uncultured prokaryote. Its description in RNAcentral is "partial 16S ribosomal RNA". It matches the Rfam family "Bacterial small subunit ribosomal RNA", at positions 524 to 777 of the family's 1533-position model. The record is from RNAcentral.